CCUAUCAAAUAGGAAAAAGAGCAAAGUUUUCACCCAGUAUUUUUCACUAACAGCAAUUGAUUAAUAUUUUAGAGUGCACAGGUGUUUCCUAAACAUAAGUCCUAUCAAAGUUAAAUAAAGAUCCUUUGUAACUUAAAACUCUAAGCAGAUACAAGAUUUUCCUUUUGUCCCAAUGGUAUAAUGAUUUGUGAAUGCAAUUGUUUUUUUUUUAUUCCAGGCUAUUAUGAAAAUGGGGAAGUUACUGAAAUGUGUUCAGACUUCAGUAAAUUUCCACUCUGUUGCCUAGGAGUUAAAACUUUGAUACACGAUGGAUUGCACUAAACUGUUGGAAAUCAUGCAAACCCAGCUUUCUAGUUAGCCACAGGAAGCAUUUUAAAAUUGUACCUGAAAAGCGCUAAUAAUGAAGAUCCUUUUUUUUCUUUUUUAAAUUAACGCAGCUGAUAGUUGAUUUAAAAAAGAAAAUUUUAUUCUUCAGAAUACACACGCUGUGUUUCUGAGUUCAGGAACUGCAUGAUCUUGUUCGCAUCUCAGCUUUUUCUGUUUAGCUACAGAGUAAUUCCAUAUGCUAAAAUUGCACUGUGAAAGCUAAAACGUUGAGGGUCUGUGUUAAGGAGAUAAGGAAGAACAUGUACCUUUUGAAGGGGGGUGUCAGUUUCUUUAAACUGAGUGCCUAGCCGAUAACACUCUUUGCUUUUGGUAGCCUACCUAGUCCAGAUAGGCUUUCCAGUACUAGAUAAUCUUUUGAGCAGAGCCAAUCCCACAUUCUGAGUACUUGGUCUAAUAAAAAAAUAAAAAGGAAAAAAAAAUCUACAUCAAGAGCUCUGUAUUUUGAAUCUUCUUGAAUGCGGACAAAAGCAGUUUUGCUUCCUUAUUUUUGGGGCUAUUUGAUGAGUAUACUUCACUUAUACGAAGAACCGUAUGUCUGUUUCCCAGACUGAACUUGUGAAAGAGAAGUCAUUUUAGCAACAAACGGGGAAAGAAGUGUCAUCCUCAGGCAGUCAUGACAUGGGGAAGGUAAUAGUUUAUUACUUUGUAACGUGCCUGAAGCAGACAAAGCAGCAGGUUUGUUCGGUGGGAUUGUUUUCUUCAAUGCCAAGUAUAGCUGAAGGAAUGGGAAGGUACUGAGCUGAGUUUGGUCAGGAGUAUUGCAGCAUUUUUCCCCUCAGGAGUAUACUCUGCCUCCCCCUCCUAACUCUAAGAACUGGUGAAGUGUUAAGCCUUGGGAGAUGCUGUCGAGGUUGGAAAGGUGGAUGGGCAGAGGAAGAGGUCCUGGAGUGGGGGCUGGGGCUGGGCACGGAGCUGUUCCGGGAAGGCUCUGUCUGGGGGAGAGGGACGGUGGGGUGCAGGAGCAGGGGCAGUCGGUGCCUGGCUGUCACCGGGUGCCCUGCGGGACAAGCUCAGCUGCGCCGGGUCUCCUGCUGGUUUUCCUCUCACCCCUUCUUCCUUCCCGGAGAGUGAGCUUCGUGAUGUUCCAUCCCUGUCCCUAAUCCAGCCACCUCCUCUGUCCUGUUCCCUGUCCUCCUCUGCCAGGUGCAGUCUACCCGCCUCGCUUAGAAACCAUCAAAUUAAGCUAUUGUGGAAAACAAUUUAGUGUUUAUCUUUCCCUCUGCCCUUUACUAGCUAGAAUCAGAAUUGCCGAACUCUGGGGCUUGCUCCCUUUGUUGGUAGCUACAGAUUUCUUCUUAAGACCCGAAGUACUUGAAGCAAAAACAUUUGAGUAUCAUGCAGUUGUUCCUGAGUGUCCUUAAAGUGCCACACAGUGACUGGGUAUGCAUUGGAAAGUGUUCAUACUGGUCUUGUGGAGCUGGCUCAGUGAGUGGAUCAGAUGGAGUGAGCCCUGGCACCGACAGUUGCAGGAUGGUCUGGGCAAACCUCUGGAGGACUCGGGCACACAAGCUGACAUCUGGGACAGGAAGAGACCUGCAUAAAGCAGAGAGAAGGAUCAAACAGCAUUGAAAGGAUCUGCAUUUUAAAGGAAGUUGUUAGCACGGAGGAUGAAGGGGCAGGUGGAAAGCAAGAAGGAACAGAUGACAAAAUCUCUGAGGGUCUUCACAGAGAUGCGACUGCGGAGAAGUACGUAAGAAAAAGCUGCCAAAAGGCGACCCUCCAGCUAACGGUGGGAACCACCUCGCCAGGCCGGACGGCACCCUGCCGUCCCGCAGCGGCAGCCGUACCUGCGCGCCGUGGCCGUGCCCCAGCUCAGCUCUGCACGUGAGGCCCCAGCAGCCGUGUCAGCUCAUCCUCCCCAGGGGCCUGAGCCAGCUCCCUCCUUGAAGAGGAGCUGCUGGUCUCCCCUAUUUCUACAGGCAUCGGCUCGGGGCCUGUCCCAGCGGCACAGUGCUCAGCGCCGAGACGUCCUCUCUUCUCGCCCAGGGCCCGUUGACGCCGGCAUCGCCCGCCAGCGCCUCUCCUGCAGCCUCUGCCUGGGCGGUCGAUGCCCAACAGAUGCGGGAGGCUGCGUGUCGCCCGGCCAACUCGCAUUUCAGCAGGAGCUGGGUGCUGCCUCCUCCCGCUUUCCUCCUGGCUCGCCGCCGAGGCCUCGGCGGCCAGUUCUCACCUCCGGUUAUCAGUUCUGGCGGUGUGGCCGGAGGGACGGUCUCCCCGUGCGUGCACGGGCAAACCUGGGCAGAGUAAUGCUGGGACACCAGAUACCGCAGCGCUCCCUGACUCUCCCGGGGCUGAAGCUCUGAUCUUGGCUGGUCCGUGGGCCACCGGUGGCAGACCCGACGUCCCCGUGCAGGAGCAGAAACCCCACCGGUUCAGCAUCAGUAGGUGGAAACACUGAGCAGCAGUGUCAGCUCCCUUCUCAGUAGAUGCGAUACAGUAGCAAAAUCUAAAAAGGAACUAACAAAGAAAUGCUUGCAAAAUAAAAAUGCUUCUGCUGUGAAUAGAAA
Molecule: long non-coding RNA, 2894 nt
Organism: Tyto alba (common barn owl)
Lineage: Eukaryota; Metazoa; Chordata; Aves; Strigiformes; Tytonidae
Exons: 4
Source: RefSeq, a predicted model, not a curated record